CCGAGCCCGCGGCCACAAGGCCAGCGACUCCCGUCCUUUGUCUUCCGGAUACCACGCUUCGCUUCGGCGGGGGAACCCGCCGGCGGACCUUUUAAACCGUCUUUUUAAACGGUGCAGUCGGAGGUGUCUUUUUUAAAUAGACCA
RNAcentral lists this unclassified non-coding RNA (144 nucleotides) under uncultured fungus. RNAcentral's name for it is "sequence contains ITS1". Lineage: Eukaryota; Fungi. The record is from RNAcentral.